RNAcentral lists this ribosomal RNA (491 nucleotides) under uncultured bacterium. RNAcentral describes it as "partial 16S ribosomal RNA". It matches the Rfam family "Bacterial small subunit ribosomal RNA", at positions 29 to 507 of the family's 1533-position model. The record is from RNAcentral.
AGUGAACGCUGGCGGUAGGCCUAACACAUGCAAGUCGAACGGCAGCACAGUAAGAGCUUGCUCUUACGGGUGGCGAGUGGCGGACGGGUGAGGAAUACAUCGGAAUCUACUUUUUCGUGGGGGAUAACGUAGGGAAACUUACGCUAAUACCGCAUACGACCUACGGGUGAAAGCAGGGGAUCUUCGGACCUUGCGCGAUUGAAUGAGCCGAUGUCGGAUUAGCUAGUUGGCGGGGUAAAGGCCCACCAAGGCGACGAUCCGUAGCUGGUUUGAGAGGAUGACAGGCAAACUGGGACUGGAGCACGGGCCCAGCUCCUUCGGGGAGGCACAGUUGGGAAUUAUUGACAAUGGGGGCAAACCUGGUCCAACCAUACCGGGGGGGUGAAGGAAGCCUUCGGGGUGUUAAGCCCUUUUUGUGGGGAAAAAAAGCAGCAGGUUAAUACCCCGCUGUUCUGACGGUACCCAAAAAAUAAGCACCGGCUAACUUCGUG